RNAcentral lists this transfer RNA (70 nucleotides) under Shewanella baltica OS185. RNAcentral describes it as "tRNA-Ser (CGA) (tRNA-Ser-CGA-1-1)". The record is from RNAcentral. Lineage: Bacteria; Pseudomonadati; Pseudomonadota; Gammaproteobacteria; Alteromonadales; Shewanellaceae.
GGUUAUGAUUAAACGGUUCACUGUCAUGGGGUGUCAGGGGUCGGAGGUUCGAAUCCUCUCAUACCGACCA